Stomoxys calcitrans (stable fly) is the source of this 1435-nucleotide long non-coding RNA. RefSeq lists it as uncharacterized. NCBI's taxonomy places the organism in Eukaryota, Metazoa, Arthropoda, Insecta, Diptera, Muscidae. The record is from RefSeq and is a predicted model, not a curated record. The transcript is spliced from 3 exons.
UUUGGUAUCGUAAAAUUCAAGUUCUUUUCCAAUGUCGAAAACGCUGUAACCUAUUCUUUAUUUUGAUUUUCGAAAAUCUAAAGCAUGCCGCAAUUUAGUAUUCGAUGAGGAAUCAUAAGCUGUGUUCGGGAACUCAAAAAUUUCUGCGAAUUUGCACAAAUUUUUACUGGAAGUCGUUCGCGUACUUUAUUUGCCGGCAGAAGAGGGCGCGAGAGAGCAAAUUUUGACAGUUAGAAAAUAGAGAACCUGCAACUUUCUACUGGGACUUUUUUUGCCAGCAGAAAUUUGCAACUUUGAGCAGAUGUUUUGUAAAGGUCAGCUGUUUUAUGAAAAGCAGCCGUUACAUGAAAAUAGAAAAGCUAACGCCAAAAUGGAUCAAAAAGGCAGAGAUUCAAGGCAGCAGUAGUGUUCAGUUACAGAAAACUCGACAAAUGAAGUUGCAAUUUUACCUCAAGUCGGCUGUUCUACACUAGAAGACAACAAGAAAAGAGCAAUUAUCGGUUUCUUUAGGGGUUUGAUGGAAUCAUCCUCAUCGGAGAGCUGCGAUGAAAACAACACCGUUCCUUUGAAUUUGUAAGGGAGGGAAGAUGCUGCCAUGGGAUUAAAUGGGUCUAAGCAGUUAAACAAGUGACGCACAGUGGGAUUAGAAAAAAUUAGUGCAAAUUAGUCUGUCAAUUGUGAACGGCUCCCUAAGAAAGCUCCGUUAGCCCCACAUCAGUUAGCAAUUUAUCUAGCCACAAUAUCCAAAAGUAUUAGAUCUUUGUCAGCAUAACAAGUGUACUUUUGUAUACGGUGAUGGCAUGUAAAGCAGUUGUAGUCCUAUGCAGCCUUCGAAAUGCAUGCUGAUGUUGCCCAAUGAAAGGAGCGGAAGGAGUAGUCCCUUAUGCGUCUUGGCUACUGAUAAGAGAAGGGAGAUUGGUCUGUACGACUCCCUCUUGCUCGUGUCGUUUUCAAGUUUCAGUGCGGGAUCGGACUGCCCAUCUUCCAAACAUUGGUUACUAUAAAAGUGUUCAGACAGGCUGAGGGCAGUUGUAAGGUACUCGGCUCCAGAUUCUUCAGCAUCAGUGUAUAGAUUCUGUCUGGAACCAGCGCUUUGCUCGACUUGGCGUCACGGAUGACAUUCGUAGCUUCGUGCACGCUUGUUGUUGUUGAUGUAGCAGUAUGUUGUACACUGAAAUACUCCAUCGGGCCAAUGCGGUACGUAGAAUCGCCUGCCAUGGCAUUGCACGGUAAUUGGUGAUGACUGUCCUGUCCGGCACGGAGAUCACGGAUAUACGAAUGGCUCCCUUCUAGCCUUUUCACUCUCGGGUCCAUAAAGUUACGUUAUCUAAGGAAAAUACCUCACAAAUAUCCCCAGAAUUUUUUAUUUAAGAACAUUUUUUUCCAAACAAGCAAACUAAGAACUAACCAAUACAAAAAUCAGCAAAUCUGCAAA